AACCUAGCACACCUGCGGUGUGUACCUGCGGAGGGAUCAUUACCUAGAGUUGUAGGCUUUGCCUGCUAUCUCUUACCCAUGUCUUUUGAGUACCUUACGUUUCCUCGGUGGGCUCGCCCACCGAUUGGACAAAUUUAAACCCUUUGCAGUUGGAAUCAGCGUCUGAAAAAACUUAAUAGUUACAACUUUCAACAACGGAUCU
Molecule: unclassified non-coding RNA, 202 nt
Filed under: soil metagenome
Description: partial contains 5.8S ribosomal RNA, internal transcribed spacer 2, and large subunit ribosomal RNA
Source: RNAcentral